Molecule: ribosomal RNA, 301 nt
Filed under: uncultured bacterium
Lineage: Bacteria
Description: partial 16S ribosomal RNA
Rfam family: Bacterial small subunit ribosomal RNA
Source: RNAcentral
CAGUAGCCACGGUAAUACGUAGGUGGCAAGCGUUGUCCGGAAUUAUUGGGCGUAAAGCGCGCGCAGGCGGUUUCUUAAGUCUGAUGUGAAAGCCCCCGGCUUAACCGGGGAGGGUCAUUGGAAACUGGGAGACUUAGAGUGCAGAAGAGGAGAGUGGAAUUCCAUGUGUAGCGGUGAAAUGCGUAGAUAUAUGGAGGAACACCAGUGGCGAAGGCGACUCUCUGGUCUGUAACUGACGCUGAGGCGCGAAAGCGUGGGAGCAAACAGGAUUAGAUACCCGCGUAGUCCCUGUCUCUUAUAC